This 406-nucleotide ribosomal RNA is filed under the name uncultured bacterium. RNAcentral describes it as "bacterial SSU rRNA". It matches the Rfam family "Bacterial small subunit ribosomal RNA", at positions 741 to 1146 of the family's 1533-position model. The record is from RNAcentral.
UGACGCUGAGGCGCGAAAGCAAGGGGAUCAAACAGACUUAGAUACUCUGGUAGUCCUUGCCCUAAACGAUGGGUACUAGGUGUUCGUCCUUUUUAAGGAUGAGUGCCGCAGCUAACGCAUUAAGUACCCCACCUGGGGAGUACGAUCGCAAGGUUGAAACUCAAAGGAAUUGACGGGGACCCGCACAAGCGGUGGAGGAUGUGGUUCAAUUCGACGCAACGCGAAGAACCUUACCUAGGCUUGACAUGGUAGUGACCAACUAUGGAAACAUAGUCUUCCGCAAGGACACUACCACAGGUGGUGCAUGGCUGUCGUCAGCUCGCGUCGUGAGAUGUCGGGUUAAGUCCCGCAACGAGCGCAACCCUUAUCCUUAGUUGUUUCCACGAAAGUGGUUACCCUCUAAGGA